CCUACGGGAGGCAGCAGUGGGGAAUAUUGCACAAUGGGGGAAACCCUGAUGCAGCGACGCCGCGUGAGUGAAGAAGUAAUUCGUUAUGUAAAGCUCUAUCAGCAGGGAAGAAAAUGACGGUACCUGAGUAAGAAGCCCCGGCUAACUACGUGCCAGCAGCCGCGGUAAUACGUAGGGGGCAAGCGUUAUCCGGAUUUACUGGGUGUAAAGGGAGCGUAGACGGCAGUGCAAGUCUGGAGUGAAAGGCGGGGGCUCAACCCCCGGACUGCUCUGGAAACUGUACGGCUGGAGUGCAGGAGAGGUAGGUGGAAUUCCUAGUGUAGCGGUGAAAUGCGUAGAUAUUAGGAGGAACACCAGUGGCGAAGGCAGCUUACUGGACUGUAACUGACGUUGAGGCUCGAAAGCGUGGGGAGCGAACAGGAUUAGAUACCCGAGUAGUC
This 440-nucleotide ribosomal RNA is filed under the name uncultured bacterium. RNAcentral's name for it is "partial 16S ribosomal RNA". It matches the Rfam family "Bacterial small subunit ribosomal RNA", at positions 338 to 795 of the family's 1533-position model. The record is from RNAcentral.